GAUGAACGCUAGCGGCAGGCCUAACACAUGCAAGUCGAGGGAGAGGUUACCUUCGGGUAACCAAAACCGGCGCACGGGUGCGUAACGCGUAUACAAUCUGCCUUUCACAUAGGGAUAGCCCGAAGAAAUUUGGAUUAAUACCUAAUGGUAUAUAAGAGCGGCAUCGUUUUUAUAUUAAAGCUACGGUGGUGAAAGAUGAGUAUGCGUUCUAUUAGCUAGUUGGAGAGGUAACGGCUCCCCAAGGCGACGAUAGAUAGGGGCUCUGAGAGGGAUGUCCCCCACACUGGUACUGAGAUACGGACCAGACUCCUACGGGAGGCAGCAGUGAGGAAUAUUGGACAAUGGUCGGAAGACUGAUCCAGCCAUGCCGCGUGCAGGAUGAAGGUCCUAUGGAUUGUAAACUGCUUUUGUAAGGGAAGAAUAAGGAGUACGUGUACUUUGAUGACGGUACCUUACGAAUAAGCAUCGGCUAACUCCGUGCCAGCAGCCGCGGUAAUACGGAGGAUGCGAGCGUUAUCCGGAAUCAUUGGGUUUAAAGGGUCCGUAGGCGGGCUGAUAAGUCAGAGGUGAAAGCGCUUAGCUCAACUAAGCAACUGCCUUUGAAACUGUCAGUCUUGAAUGAUUGUGAAGUAGUUGGAAUGUGUAGUGUAGCGGUGAAAUGCUUAGAUAUUACACAGAACACCGAUAGCGAAGGCAUAUUACUAACAAUUUAUUGACGCUGAUGGACGAAAGCGUGGGGAGCGAACAGG
Molecule: ribosomal RNA, 749 nt
Filed under: uncultured Capnocytophaga sp.
Lineage: Bacteria; Pseudomonadati; Bacteroidota; Flavobacteriia; Flavobacteriales; Flavobacteriaceae
Description: bacterial SSU rRNA
Rfam family: Bacterial small subunit ribosomal RNA
Source: RNAcentral